This is a long non-coding RNA of Mesocricetus auratus (golden hamster), 2550 nucleotides long. RefSeq lists it as uncharacterized. The record is from RefSeq and is a predicted model, not a curated record. The transcript has 3 exons. NCBI's taxonomy places the organism in Eukaryota, Metazoa, Chordata, Mammalia, Rodentia, Cricetidae.
UGUGCAGCAGGAGUCUAGAAGUAAUGGCAGCCUUAUCAUUUUGGGAAACCACAGUUGAGGACAACGAGCUGGGUGGCUAAGGGGGAAGGUCAAUAACGUCCAGCCAGCUGAAAACUGAGUGGCAGAAAGCUGAGGCUGGUAACCUGGGCUAGCCACUCUUAGAAAGCCAGUUGAUGGACACAAGGCAAGCUGUAAACAUCCUUAGCCUUGUGUAGAGUCCUCCAAGACUCCACCAGUCCUCCGAAGCUCAAGGCUCCUCUGAGAGGACCCAGGUUCAGUUCCUAGCACUCGUGGCGUCUUGUAACCAUCCAAUAACUCCAUGUCCAGGGGAUCCAGUGCCCUCUUCUGAACGGUAUGGGCACCAGACACACAGGGGGUACACAUUCACAUGUGCAAGCCGAACACUCAGGGCUGCAGGCAGUGUGGACAUCUGCCCUCACCCUCUAGCCAAGGGAAGCAUGCUGCUCAGUGGGCUUCCACUGCCCGUUCUCUAGUUUUCUAGUGGUCUCUGCUGUGGAUCCACAACACCCACUCCCCCUUCAUCGGUGCUGCCCUUCUUUAGGCAGAAGAUGGUGCGAUGGGGAGUGCUCUGUUAUGUCCCCAGACCAUCAGCUCAUCUGUCGCUCCCCAGUUUUGGUGUUCAACCUGUGACAUUUCAACCCACAGUGGCCAUGCCAAGACAGCCCAGGUUCACACUGGACUUAUAACCCUCCUCAAGUCAUUGGGUUCACCCUUCACUGGAAGUCACUGUGCCCUUGGAGAAAGAUAUCCAUGGCUUAUGCCUCCCCUAUCCCCACCUUACCCUGACUCUGCACACUGCAGCCGCCAGCAUCUUGUCUACAGAGUGCCCGGAGUUAGGGAGGGCUCUUAUACACUGUGUAGCACGUGGGCUUGAGAGAACUCACUGCCCUCUCAAAGGUUUGGGUGUGCUUAAAGCUGAUUGGUCUGUCAAGCCCCCUGACUCAAGAUAGCUGUAGGGUGUGGGUAAGGUGGGGGAAGGAGUGGUGGGACUUGGGAAAGAGCUAGCUCCUUAGAGCCACACAACAGGGUCUCUUCAGUUUAUGGAGCUUGACUUCUGAUUCAAAUGCUAGGUGAUUGGGCCCACGCUCAUGACUCAAAGAAACGGUGCUUGUUCCUGCCCCCAAAUGGGAGAUACUCAAGUGAAUUCUUUGUCAAAGGCGACAAAGUCACUUUACAGAACUACCAUAUGAUGGUUGCUGGCCACUCCCACCAACAGCUAUGGCAACGGCUCCCUUGCUAAUCAAGAAUCAAGCCCUGGGCUUGUGCUGUAAAACCAAGACACUCUGCCAAAAGAGCUCACAAAAUCUUACAGUAAUAUCGAAAUUUUACAACAAAUUGUUUCUCUCGCAGCUUGCAGGCUGGGUCAAUAAACCCUGUGCCCUGGAAUGCACGGCUUUCACAUAAAAUGCUCUUGGAGUAUGAUUUGUUUCUAACUAACAGAAUUGUCAAGUGGAGGGAUUUUUUUUUCUGAUGUAAUUGAGACUCCAAAUUAGCUCAUUUUCAGCUAGUUGACUCCGUCAGAUGAAGAUGAAUGCCUUUUGAAGGAGAGAUGACCUCCCCCCUCCCAUCAGAGGUUCUUCUUUCUGACUUGAUGAUGUAAUCAGUCUUGUUGCAGAAGCCCACAUGGCAACUGUCAGGUAGUUUCUAGGAUCUGUAGAAACACGUAGGUAGGUCAUGAGGUCAGCCUCCUGUUGACAGUCAGUCAUGUGUUGGUGACUCCAGCCAUGCAGGCAUGGGAAAAUGAAGUAUGCCAACAUUGCUCAACAAGCACAGAAGAAAAGUCUUUCCAAGUCAACCCUCCAGAUGACAAUGCAGCCCAGCCAUUGUCUUUAUUGUGAUUUGUGAUAUCUGAGCAGAGGGUCAUUCCUGGAUUCCUGACCCCCAAAGAACUUAGGGGCAAAUAGUGCUGUAGACUUUGUCCUCGGUUCUUUUACAAAUAUUUCAACCCCCCAAAUCACAUUCUUAAAGAUGCAUAAAUGAUAUUAAGAUUUCUGAGUCAACACUGCAUAUUAGGGAAGAAGGUAUCGUCAUCAGAAACUUUGACAAAAUUUCUGAAAGCUCAAAAAUAAAAAAAUGAAAAAUUAGGUUAAGCAUGGUAUAUGCCUUUAGUCUUAGCACUUGGGAGGCAGAUGCAAGGGAAUCUCUGUAAGCCUGAGGCCAGCUUGGACUACAACUAAAAUUCCAAGCCAGCCAAAUAUACAAAAUACAAUGUAUCUAAAAGAAAAUUAACUGUGUGUGUGGUGUGUGUGUGUGUGUGUGUCCUAAGUUAACAUCUGGAAAUAGAUGAUGCUUUCUUAGAAAAUCUGGGUUUUGCUUAUUUGUUUGGAAAAAGUACUUUGACAGACUACUAAAUUUUUCUGCAUUUCAAAAAUUUAGAGGUGUGACAGUUGUUUUCAUUAGUUCAGUGUUAUUAUUCCAGUAAUAUGUUAUUUACCCUCUUUUUUAUCCAAAAGUACCACACCAUAUAUGCUGUCGUGUCUUGUUUUUCUCAUUAAAACAAUACAUCUUGGAGGUCUCUCUGUAUCCAUA